Patella vulgata (common limpet) is the source of this 663-nucleotide long non-coding RNA. RefSeq lists it as uncharacterized. NCBI's taxonomy places the organism in Eukaryota, Metazoa, Mollusca, Gastropoda, Patellidae. The record is from RefSeq and is a predicted model, not a curated record. The transcript has 3 exons.
UCAUAUUUCAUUUCAAGUCGAUUACUGCAAUCCUAGUCCAUGUGAAGGUCAUCAAGCCUGUAACAGGAUACAUAGAGGUUUUACAUGUAGUUGUGAUGCUGGAAAUACAGGAAAAACUUGUGACGUUAAUAUUUGUGACGUGUGUGCAGGUGUUAAUUGUGAUUGGCCAGUGGGAUGAUCUUGAGGAGUUUGGCAGAGUGAAUGCCAUGGUGGACAUCGCUAUUCUGAUUGCUAAAUCACAAUCUGAUUAAAAUACACAUCUAUCUUUCGUGUCUUUUUUUUAUACUUUCGAUAGCCUUCACUUUUUUGAGUAAGGACAAGUAAAACGAAAUUUUGAACAAUAAAAAACGAAACGCAAUAGGAUCUGUGUUUUAAUCAGAUUGGUUAAAUCUAUGGGAAAAUCACUUUUUCUGUCCUGGUUCUAAUGGAGAAAUCACUUCGUCAUACUGGUUCUGAUUCUAUAUGGAGAAGUCACUCGCUAUUCGUGUUGUUAUGAAAUCCUUUUUCUGUUUCGGUUCUAAUAUAUGGAGAAAUCACUUCGCCAUACUUAUUCUUAUUGUUAUUGUUAUGGAGACGUUCCUCACUAUUCGGGUUGUUAUAUUUGGAGACAACACCUCGCUAUUCGGGUUCUUGUUACUUUUAAACGUUAUUGUUUAGUUUGAU